CGAUCCGUUGACAGUGCAAUACAGCGAAUCUGAGAUCUACCUUUUGAAUUUGUUUUUGUGACGAAUCGGUGAAACUGAUAAAUUUCUGGAGGCGCUAUGUAUUUGCUCUCGAAGAA
RNAcentral lists this ribosomal RNA (116 nucleotides) under Filamoeba nolandi. RNAcentral's name for it is "partial 5.8S ribosomal RNA". Lineage: Eukaryota; Evosea; Variosea. The record is from RNAcentral.